Molecule: non-coding RNA, 122 nt
Organism: Triticum aestivum (bread wheat)
Lineage: Eukaryota; Viridiplantae; Streptophyta; Magnoliopsida; Poales; Poaceae
Source: Rfam
GUAAUACUCCCUCCGACCGGAAAAGCUUGUCCUUCAAAUGGAUGUAUGUAGCAUCAAGUGCUAGAUACAUCCAUUUAAGGAACAAGUUUGGGACAAGCUUUUUCGGACAGAGGGAGUAGCUA